GUGUCAGCAGCCGCGGUAAUACGUAGGAUCCGAGCGUUGUCCGGAAUUACUGGGUGUAAAGGGUGCGUAGGCGGACUUGUGCGUCAGAGGUGAAAUCCACGGGCUUAACCCGUGGGGUGCCUUUGAUACGGCAAGUCUUGAGUGCGAGAGAGGUGGGUGGAAUUCCUGGUGUAGCAGUGAAAUGCGUAGAUAUCAGGAGGAACACCGAUGGCGAAGGCAGCCCACCGGCUCGCAACUGACGCUGAGGCACGAAAGCGUGGGGAUCAAACAGGAUUAGAUACCCUCGUAGUCC
This 292-nucleotide ribosomal RNA is filed under the name uncultured bacterium. Its description in RNAcentral is "partial 16S ribosomal RNA". It matches the Rfam family "Bacterial small subunit ribosomal RNA", at positions 505 to 796 of the family's 1533-position model. The record is from RNAcentral.